Molecule: long non-coding RNA, 460 nt
Organism: Notothenia coriiceps (black rockcod)
Lineage: Eukaryota; Metazoa; Chordata; Actinopteri; Perciformes; Nototheniidae
Exons: 5
Source: RefSeq, a predicted model, not a curated record
GCUGUGUGGGCCGCUGUGGGGAGGUGUUCACCAGAGGCCAGCAGUGUACCUGUGACUUCAGCUGCCUCAGACACAACGAGUGCUGCCAGGACUUCCAGGCUGCCUGCACCACAGAUCAGUCCUGUCAGGGUCGCUGUGGGGAGACGUUCAGCCGCGGCCGGGUGUGUGAGUGUGAUGCACAGUGCAGCCAGUAUAGCACCUGUUGUCAUGACUACCAGCUACACUGCGAUGUCGGUGUCUCAGGCUCUCUCUCCAGGACGGCACAGCCUCUGAGAGCUGCUGCGACAGGAAAUCGGAGACCAGGUAGGGGGUGGGCAGACUCCAACAGUGAGAGUGAGGAAUGGUACUCAGCGAGGGGCCCCUGCUCCCGGUACCCCAGGGGUCAGUGUCCGGGGUCCAUCAGACAGCUGACUGCCAGCUCCUCUGGCCGAGCUCCUGCUGCACCGACCAAUCAACCACA